RNAcentral lists this long non-coding RNA (448 nucleotides) under Chlamydomonas reinhardtii. RNAcentral describes it as "long non-coding RNA (CREI_LNC001420)". The record is from RNAcentral. Lineage: Eukaryota; Viridiplantae; Chlorophyta; Chlorophyceae; Chlamydomonadales; Chlamydomonadaceae.
GGUGUGGUGCGGGUUUCCACCUGCUGAUCACCCCCUCGGAGCUGUAGGGGCACAGGCACGGGGCUCCAUGUGCUUUGUAACAAAGUCAGAGGCCAGGUAGCUGGAGUCUGGUAGUGUGAUGGGGUUGGUGUAGGGCACGUUGAAUGCACGGCAUCAUCAAGCAGGUUUUUAUAUAUUGAAAUCUUUGCUUGUGUGGCGUAGGUUUCCAGGUGGGGGGCCGUGUGUGUUUGGGCGAACAUGGAUAUGAGGUGGGUUAGGCGCGUGUCCGUAAAGGGGGCAUGAGUAAUGGGCGUGAGUAGGUGUGUAGCUGCGCAUGUGAUGGCCGGUGUUAGGAGUGGUAUUUCAGCUGUGUGUUUGAUACUGGCAAUAAGCAGGAGUAUGGUUAGUAGGUUUCGCGUGAAGGUAACGGGCCUCUUGGCUAGGGCGCGGCAUGUGAUGUAUAGUGGGA